RNAcentral lists this ribosomal RNA (279 nucleotides) under uncultured bacterium. RNAcentral describes it as "partial 16S ribosomal RNA". It matches the Rfam family "Bacterial small subunit ribosomal RNA", at positions 506 to 784 of the family's 1533-position model. The record is from RNAcentral.
UGCCAGCCGCCGCGGUAAGACAGAGGGUGCAAGCGUUGUUCGGAAUCAUUGGGCGUAAAGCGCGCGUAGGCGGUUUGGUAAGUCGGAUGUGAAAGCCCGGGGCUCAACCCCGGAAGUGCAUCCGAAACUGCUCGACUUGAGUCUCGGAGAGGGUGGUGGAAUUCCUGGUGUAGAGGUGAAAUUCGUAGAUAUCAGGAGGAACACCCGUGGCGAAGGCGACCACCUGGACGAUGACUGACGCUGAGGCGCGAAAGCGUGGGGAGCAAACAGGAUUAGAUA